This 789-nucleotide non-coding RNA is filed under the name Ganisa cyanogrisea. Lineage: Eukaryota; Metazoa; Arthropoda; Insecta; Lepidoptera; Eupterotidae. The record is from RNAcentral.
AUUAAAUUUUUCAUGGUUUAAAAAAUUUAUUAUAAAUUUAUUUUACAUAUAAAUUUUAGUGUUAAUUUUUAAUUAUUUUAAUAAUAAUUAUUUUAAUUAUUAUAGUAAUUAAUAUUAAAAAUUUAAGAAAUUAAGAUUUAGUAAUAUAUAAAUUAAUAACUAAUUUUGUGCCAGCAGUUGCGGUUAUUCAAAAGUUAAAUUAAAUUAUAUUGAUUAUAUAAUUAAUAAUUUUUUAAAAAAAAAAUUAAAAUAAUAAUUAAAUUAUUAAGUGAAAUUUUAAUUUAAUUUAAUUUUAAUUAAAAAUUAUGAAUUUAAUAAAUUUUUUAUUAAACUAGGAUUAGAUACCCUAUUAUUAAAAAUUUAAAUUUAAAAUAUCAAAAUAGUAAUUAAUUAUUUAUUGAAACUUAAAUAAUUUGGCGGUAUUUUAGUUCAUUUAGAGGAAUCUGUUUAUUAAUUGAUAAUCCACGAAUAAAUUUACUUAAUUUAUAAUUUUAUAUAUCGUUGUUUAAAAAAUAUUUUUUAAUAAUUAAAUAAUAUUUUAAAAUUUGAAAAAAAAAUUAAAUCAGAUCAAGAUGUAGAAUAUAAUUAAGAAUAUAAUGGAUUACAAUAAAUUUAUUUAUAUGAAUAUUAAUUUGUAAAAGUUAAUUAAAGGUGGAUUUAAAUGUAAUUUUAUUUAAUUUAAUAAAAUGAUUAAAAAUUAAAAUAUGUACAUAUUGCCCGUCACUUUCAUUAAUAAAUUGAAAUAAGUCGUAACAAAGUAGAGGUACUGGAAAGUGUUUCUAGAAAGAA